Molecule: unclassified non-coding RNA, 247 nt
Filed under: uncultured fungus
Lineage: Eukaryota; Fungi
Description: sequence contains ITS1
Rfam family: 5.8S ribosomal RNA (bases 1-97)
Source: RNAcentral
UAAAGUGCGAUAUUUAGUGCGAUUUGCAUGAAUCUGUGAGUCAUCGAGUUUUUGAACGCAUCUUGCGCCCUAUACGGGCAUGUCCUUUUGAGUACCGAUUAACCUCUUGUUGACUAAUGCCUUGGCUUGGUCUAAAAGGCUAGUAUAACUCUAUGAGAGAAUAGUGCCAAGUUGUGUAUUGUAUUCAACUAACUAUCCCUUCAUACUAACCCGGUCUCAGAGUGGCAAGACUACCCACUGAACUUAA